RNAcentral lists this ribosomal RNA (440 nucleotides) under uncultured bacterium. Its description in RNAcentral is "partial 16S ribosomal RNA". It matches the Rfam family "Bacterial small subunit ribosomal RNA", at positions 338 to 795 of the family's 1533-position model. The record is from RNAcentral.
CCUACGGGUGGCAGCAGUAGGGAAUAUUGCUCAAUGGGGGAAACCCUGAAGCAGCAACGCCGCGUGGAGGAUGAAGGUUUUCGGAUUGUAAACUCCUUUUGUUAGAGAAGAGAAUGACGGUAUCUAACGAAUAAGCACCGGCUAACUCCGUGCCAGCAGCCGCGGUAACACGGAGGGUGCAAGCGUUACUCGGAAUCACGGGGCGUAAAGGGCGCGUAGGCGGGAUAGCAAGUCAGAUGUGAAAUCCUAUGGCUUAACCAUAGAACUGCAUUUGAAACUGUUAUUCUAGAGUAUGGGAGAGGUAGGUGGAAUUUUUGGUGUAGGGGUGAAAUCCGUAGAGAUCAAGAGGAAUACUCAUUGCGAAGGCGACCUGCUAGAGCAUAACUGACGCUGAUGCGCGAAAGCGUGGGGAGCAAACAGGAUUAGAUACCCGGGUAGUC